CUGAUAACCAAAGAGGAAGUCCUGGUUCCCCAGUGGCCUGCAACAGAUCUUGGAGGAUUUUAUCAGUCAAGCAAAGUCAACAACAGACUGACUCCCAUCUCAGAGGCUCUGACCUCACCUCUGCUCACCUCUCUAUGAUCUCCAGUGACUUCAAGACCCACUUGGGUCAAUACCUUCCUGUGAGUUCUGGACCUCAGAAGCAUCCUUUGCUGGUGUUCUCAGAACACAAUUGGAAGCUAUGGUCCUAUUUAGGCUUCAAGACUCCAGCCCACUAUAGAAGACUUCUGCCUUGAAAUGUACUCUCUCUCUCCCUUGUGACUUCUGAAAGUUCAACCAUCCCUACUUCCUGGGAUCCAGUUCCUCAGUCUCUGCCUAGAGAUCAGUCUUCAUUCUGUUCCCUUCAGUGUAAGGUGCUCACCAGUCCACUCUGU
This is a long non-coding RNA of Grammomys surdaster, 431 nucleotides long. RefSeq lists it as uncharacterized. NCBI's taxonomy places the organism in Eukaryota, Metazoa, Chordata, Mammalia, Rodentia, Muridae. The record is from RefSeq and is a predicted model, not a curated record. The transcript is spliced from 3 exons.